UCUCUGGUGGCUCAGAUGGUAAAGAAUCUGCCUGCAAUGCAGGAGACCCGGGUUUGAUCCCUGGCUUGGGGA
Transfer RNA from Ovis aries (sheep), 72 nucleotides. It matches the Rfam family "tRNA". From Rfam's summary of the family: Transfer RNA (tRNA) molecules are approximately 80 nucleotides in length. Their secondary structure includes four short double-helical elements and three loops (D, anti-codon, and T loops). The record is from Rfam. Lineage: Eukaryota; Metazoa; Chordata; Mammalia; Artiodactyla; Bovidae.